CAAUGACGAUGAUGACAACGGUGAUUUUGAGAGGAAAGCCAAGUUCCUCACAGAGCAGAAGCCUUCCAGUAACCUCAGUGAGAGGAAUUCUGUUUCUGAGGACAAGAUGCUGGCGUACAUCCAGUUCAAACAUGUGUAACGAAUUGGAAGAACGGACAUCUGUCACCCUCAAGAACUCCAGGCAGGACUGACGAGCUGCCUGCAACCAGCAGCUGAGGCACCCCGAGACCCAGGGCUCUGCACAGUGUCUAGAGCUUCCUUCUCUACGCUGAUCGGCACCUGCCUGGCUGAGCCACGAGAGAGGCAUCUGUGAUACCUGAUGACAAUCAUCUCUGAUUAGAGUUCCGCCGCACAGCCCAGGCGAGCUGGGCCACAGCUAAUUAGCAUGUGAGGCCAGCGUGCUGUUUACUGGAACUGUACUAACAAGUUGUAGCUUUUUCCAUCACAGGAGAGCCGUUGUCAGCCAGAAACCCUUCACUCGAUCAGUUUAGGGACAGGGCGGAUACUCCUUAUGCACCACCCCCAUGACACAUUAAUGCGUUUGUGCUGAGAGUCACUUUCAGCCCGUGUUCCCACCUCUGUAAGCUGUCACUUCUAGACAUGGUAGUAAAACCUGGUGUUGUUCUAA
This is a non-coding RNA of Rattus norvegicus (Norway rat), 628 nucleotides long. The record is from RefSeq and is a predicted model, not a curated record. Lineage: Eukaryota; Metazoa; Chordata; Mammalia; Rodentia; Muridae.